GGAGCGGGUUCAUGAGCUCGGCGCCGACGAGCGCGGAUGAGCCCCGCCCGGCCCAGCGCUGGGCGCGGAGUCCCUGGGGCCCUGAGGGUGUCCGGGACUCCGGAGACCACGCGGCGAACCCCUAGCCUCCGAGUCCAGCAGGCGAGGGCCCGCCCCGGGGGCGGUGCUUCCCAGGCCACGCCCCUGGCGAUGGGGAGGGUCCCGGCGGAGGCGGCGGGGGAGGGAGUCCCUGACAACUUAAGUCCCCCAACGUGCCGUUACUGCCCCCCAACAAGAAACAGGUGCUGACCCUGCCCGCCGACGCUCACCCUCACCCAGGACACAGUGAUGACCUUCACAGAACAACCAGGUUGGGGACACCCGCUGGCUCCUGGUAGAACACAGCCCCUGAGCCCAGCCUCACCCGCCUGAUCACAGUAGCCCAGUCCCAUGAGCGUCCCAGGAAUAAACUUGAA
Long non-coding RNA from Manis pentadactyla (Chinese pangolin), 455 nucleotides. RefSeq lists it as uncharacterized. The transcript has 2 exons. The record is from RefSeq and is a predicted model, not a curated record. NCBI's taxonomy places the organism in Eukaryota, Metazoa, Chordata, Mammalia, Pholidota, Manidae.